AUGCAGGCCUACUUUGCAAGCUGGGGACAAGAGGGCAUAGUUGAUCUUAAACAUGAACUCGAGCAGGUGCUCAUGUUUAUCUCAAGUCGGUGCCUACUCGGAUAUGAGGUUCGUGAGAUGAUGCUGGAAGAAGUUUCAUCAUUGUUUCAUGAACUUGAGAAUGGCUUAAACUUUUUUAGUUUCUUGUUCCCCUAUAUUCCAACCUCGACAAACCGCCGGCGCGACAAGGCGCACAUCAGGCUUAAAGAAAUAUUCACUACAACUAUCAGGUCACGCAGGAGCUCCGGCCGAGUUCAGGAGGAUGCACUGCAGAGGUUGAUGAAUUCCAAAUAUAAAGACGGUCGCUCUGCAUCCGAAGCCGAAAUUUGCGGCAUGAUCAUAGCACUCAUAUUUGCUGGAAAGCACCCAAGCUCCAGCACUAGUAUAUGGACUGGAGCUUUCAUGUUGAGCAACACCAAAUUCUUAAUAGCUGCCGUGGAGGAGCAAAAGCAUAUAAUUAGCAAGUACAAGAACCAAAUAGGCUAUGAUGCAUUUUUAGAGAUGGAUACCCUGCAUAGAUGCAUCAAGGAGGCACUUCGGAUGCAUACACCAGUGCAAAUGUUAGCUCGCAAGGCACAUAAGAAAUUCAAGGUGCAGACCAAGGAAGGCAAGGAAUAUGACAUACCUGAAGGGCAUAACAUUGUAAUCCCUACAACACUCAACAAUAAGCUGUCACAUGUUUACAAUGACCCUCAUGCGUACGAUCCAGAUCGGUUUGGUCCUGGAAGAGAGGAGGACAGAGUUGGCGGCAAGUACUCUUUCACAACAUUUGGUGGUGGAAGGCAUGUUUGUUCUGGCAUGGCCUUGGCUUACCUGCAAAUUAAGGUCAUAUGGAGCCAUCUAUUAAGAAACUUUGAGUUCAAGUUAAUAUCUCCAUUCCCUAAGGUGGAUGUGAGCAAGGAUUUGUUCAUGUGCAAAUAA
RNAcentral lists this ribosomal RNA (960 nucleotides) under Triticum aestivum (bread wheat). Its description in RNAcentral is "partial small subunit ribosomal RNA". Lineage: Eukaryota; Viridiplantae; Streptophyta; Magnoliopsida; Poales; Poaceae. The record is from RNAcentral.